UUGCACGAAUUCAUCAUGCUCUAGGAGACAGUAAACUAGCAAUAUCAUAUCAGCACAAAACUGUCAUUAUGUAUGAGAGACUACUAGGAGUGGACCACUGCAGCUCUAUAUCAGCCUAUUUCCAUUUGGCUUAGUAUUGCUGUGGGGCUGAGAGGAAUGUUGUGGCGUUGAGAUUACUGUAUAGAGUUAGGUAUCUAAUAAUGUUAAGACAUGGUGAGGAUCAUCCUGAAAUGUCUAAUGUUGAUUUUUACAUUGGUUUACUACUGAGUAAUGCUGGUCAUUAUGAAGAAAGUCAGGCAUAUCUGGAAAGUGCUCUUAGAUUACAAAACAAGUUUCAUGGAAGUCAAUCAAUUACUGUAGCCACAAUUCAUCAUCUUCUUGCCAACUCAUUGACUCACAUUGGAGCAUUUGCUGAAGCUAAGCAAAAUAAGAGAAAAGCAUACAAUAUCUAUAGGACUAAAUUUGGCCCAGAUCAUGCACGUACUGUUCAGUCUUUUAAAAAACGUGAGGUAUAUCACUGAAAAGCAAGUCUCUUAUGAGCAGACUGUUGCCUAAAUUUUCUUGCCAGUUAUUUGAAUGUUACAUCAUCUAAUCGUUUAGCAGUGCAGAGUCAUCAUUAACUGAGAAGCAACUGAUGGUGAGACUAGACCUGUAGGAAGAGGAACAGCUACACGUAAUAGAGAAGCAACUGAUGGUGAUACUAGAGCUGUAAGAAGAGAAACAGCUACACGUAAUAAUGCAGAGAUAGCCGUUACAGUUGAUGGUACAUUAAAGGUCUUCCAGUCCAUUCUCAUUGACUUAAUUGCAGACUUCUUACUAGCUCUUGUUGUUCACAGAGACUCGUGGCAGAUAUAUGAUGCUAUUGUAAUUCAUCCUUGUGAGCCAGGAGUAACUGAAUGGAUCAAUGUCUACAACCUAAAAUGGUGCGUCUUGUAGUGACGGACCAGUUCCUGAUCUUUGUUGGACGGGACAGGGUCACCACUCCCUUGUAUAUCAGGAUUUGUGUAUUUUA
This 1012-nucleotide long non-coding RNA is filed under the name Amphimedon queenslandica. RNAcentral's name for it is "uncharacterized LOC105312827, transcript variant X1". The record is from RNAcentral. Lineage: Eukaryota; Metazoa; Porifera; Demospongiae; Haplosclerida; Niphatidae.